AAAUUGAAGAGUUUGAUCAUGGCUCAGAUUGAACGCUGGCGGCAGGCCUAACACAUGCAAGUCGAACGGUAACAGGAAGCAGCUUGCUGCUUCGCUGACGAGUGGCGGACGGGUGAGUAAUGUCUGGGAAACUGCCUGAUGGAGGGGGAUAACUACUGGAAACGGUAGCUAAUACCGCAUAACGUCGCAAGACCAAAGAGGGGGACCUUCGGGCCUCUUGCCAUCGGAUGUGCCCAGAUGGGAUUAGCUAGUAGGUG
RNAcentral lists this ribosomal RNA (257 nucleotides) under Escherichia coli. RNAcentral's name for it is "partial 16S ribosomal RNA". It matches the Rfam family "Bacterial small subunit ribosomal RNA", at positions 1 to 254 of the family's 1533-position model. The record is from RNAcentral. Lineage: Bacteria; Pseudomonadati; Pseudomonadota; Gammaproteobacteria; Enterobacterales; Enterobacteriaceae. RNAcentral also lists the same sequence under 1 other name.